This 750-nucleotide ribosomal RNA is filed under the name uncultured bacterium. RNAcentral describes it as "bacterial SSU rRNA". It matches the Rfam family "Bacterial small subunit ribosomal RNA", at positions 44 to 788 of the family's 1533-position model. The record is from RNAcentral.
AAACCUAAAAUGCAAGUCGAACGAGAAGACCUUCGGGUCUCUAGUGGCGAACGGGUGAGUAACACGUAGGGAACCUGCCCGCGCACCGGGAAUACGCUCUGGAAACGGAGAACAAAUCCCGAUGUACAGGAAGGAGGCAUCUUCUUUCUGUGAAACAUCCUCUAGGGGAUGGGGCGCGGAUGGACCUGCGGUGCAUUAGUUGGUUGGCGGGGUAAAGGCCCACCAAGACGAUGAUGCAUAGCCGGCCUGAGAGGGCGGACGGCCACAUUGGGACUGAGACACGGCCCAGACUCCUGCGGGAGGCAGCAGUAGGGAAUUUUCGUCAAUGGGCGCAAGCCUGAACGAGCGAUGCCGCGUGAGUGAAGAAGGCCUUCGGGUCGUAAAGCUCUGUUGCGGGGGAAAAAAGGCAGCAUCAGGAAAUGGGUACUGACUGAUGGUGCCCCGCCAGAAAGUCACGGCUAACUACGUGCCAGCAGCCGCGGUAAUACGUAGGUGGCGAGCGUUAUCCGGAAUGAUUGGGCGUAAAGGGUGCGCAGGCGGUCCUGCAAGUCUGGAGUGAAACGCAUGAGCUCAACUCAUGCAUGGCUUUGGAAACUGGAGGACUGGAGAGCAGGAGAGGGCGGUGGAACUCCAUGUGUAGCGGUAAAAUGCGUAGAUGUAUGGAAGAACACCAGUGGCGAAGGCGGCCGCCUGGCCUGUUGCUGACGCUGAGGCACGAAAGCGUGGGGAGCAAAUAGGAUUAGAUACCCU